AAACAGCAAUUAAUCACGAUUAAUUUUUUAAAUCACGAUUAAUUUUUUGAGUUAACUGCGAUUAAUCAACAGCCCUAAUAAAAACCCUUGAUGUUUAGACUGGUAAGCUCCUCAAGGCAGGGUCAGUUUCCUUUUGCAGUAUUGCCAACCCCAACUGUUCAAAAAUCAAGAGUCGGAGCUCGCUAAAAUCAUGAUUGGCUUUAAAAUAAUGAGAUUAUGUAAAAAUAAUAGAUUUUUAUCUGUCUUCUGGCUUUUGAGCCUUUAGCACACAUGGGGCCACAUUUUGAAGCUUUCUCCACAGUCACAAGGGCUAGAAACUUACUUUUUCUUUAAGAAUGAAGGCUGAAAUCACACAUCCACUUGACUCCGGGAGCUGGGACUUUUUAAAAAAAAAAAAAAAAAAAACAAUAAUUAUGAGACUGGUGAUAAAAUCAUGAGAGUUGGUAACACUGCUUCUGUGAGUUCUCCACAAUGCUAACCACCCUGAUAGUGCUCAACAUAUAAUAAAAAAUAGUAGCUGUUUCUAACUAGCAUCUGCUCUUAAGUGAGAUCCUGCUUCUCCGUGAACUAGCUGGCUAGACUGAAUUACAGGGAGUCAAGUAAAUUACUCAGUCUCUUAUUGGAGAGUUAGCACCAUGACAUAUCCUGGCUCCUGUGUUUUUGCUCUAACUUGAGAACAAAGCUUCACCAAUUCUUGACGGCAUCUACAGUUACAUCAUUUCUUAACCACAGACGAUAAAGCACUUGUGACAGAUGAGAUAUUGGUUUUUCCUCCUGUUUCAUCAUGUCCUCACUCAUAGAAUCAUAGAAUAUCAGGGUUGGAAGGGACCUCAGGAGGUCAUCUAGUCCAACCUCCUGCUCAAAGUAGGACCAGUCCCCAACUAAAUCACUCCUGAUGUCUCCCUUCAAAUCUUUGCACCUUCCCUUGUGCUGCUGCUUAUUCUUGAAACAGUUUAAGGACCUUACCAAGAGAUAUUGGAUCAUCCAUACUGGUGUGCUUACAUGGCACUUCUGUGUAUCAUAAUAACUUGUAUUGUUCUGUACCCACUCCUGGUUUUAGCUUGUGAGCUCUGUGCAGCAGGGAUUACACUCUUUUUGAGGCACAUUGGCUAGCUGUGCUCAUGUGCAUCUUAGAGCACUAUAUAAAUUAUAGUAAUAAAAUCCAGGUAGAUCAAUAAAUCUGUUUGGACUUAUAGGCAUUGGCAUUUCCUCAUCCUCUUCUGGUCACUGUUACUAAAUAUAUAUGCAUUGCCAUAUGCCUUUGCAGACUUUAAAAAAAUGCAAAGAGUUUAUCAUUUUGAAUUAGGUGAACUCUGGAAAUGACAGUACCAAAGGGAAGUGAGGGCCGGGGUAACUGCGAAGAAGGUACUAACCAAAACUUGUGUGAAGCAUUGAAGUUUUGAGAAUAAGGCAUGAGGAAGUGAAGCAGCGUGUAGUGGAGCAGUUGUCAGCUGUCAAAAGUGAGUCCCUAGAAAUGAAUUUUGAAGUGGGUAUUGAAGGCAGAAAGUGAGGACACUUGGCCUUCUGGAAAAAGAAGGCUACCCUUGGCCUAAGGGCAGCCUGAAAAAAAUUCUGAAAACUGCAAAUAGGAGGAGACCAAAUGGAUGAAAUUCUAUGGUCUGUGCUAUGUGGGAGAUCAGACUUAAAUGACUAUAAUUGUCUCUUCUGUCUUUAAAAUCUAUGAGCAUUGGACACAAGGGUGGAGGUCAGUAGAAACAGAGAUAGAAAAACAGGCAGGGGAAGAGUACAGGUAUUUGAUGCUGAAAGGUACAGUGAGCUGGUAAAGGGACUGAGGGUGUGAUCUGCCAAAUGGUGGGUGAGGCUGUAGCACAGAUUGAAGUAGGAGGAAGUAAGAGCUGAGGAAGCUAGAAAGGAGAAAGGUACAAUAAUCUAGGUGAGAAAGAAGCAAGGAGAGAGCCAGGUUUUCAGCAAUGGUGAGGGAAAGGGAGACUUUAUGCUCUAAUGGAGGACAGUGGAGAGCAACGAAAAUGAUUAGGGGCUGGGGCACAUGACUUACGAGGAGAGGCUGAGGGAACUGGGGUUAUUUAGUCUGCAGAAGAGGAAAGUGAGGGGGCAUUUGAUAGCAGCCUUCAACUACCUGAAGGCCAGUGUUCUGCCAGUGGGACAGAUAUCAACCCUUAUCCAUGAAUCCCAUCAUCUUUCCUACUGGGAAUGAUCCAUGGAAACUAUAGGUCUCAGCAUGCCAAGCUCCAUCUUGCUCAGAGUGGGAAGGCUGCUCAGAUCAAACUGGAGCAUGGCUCAUUAAGAGCUGUGAUCUCUAAAGACCAUCCCACCUCCCUCCCUGCUAAUGUCCCUGGCUGCAGCCUCCUCUUGGCAAGUUGGCCAUGCAGUUGGCGGCUGGGAAAAGUCUGACAUUGACCCUGGUUCAGGCUGUCACUAGAGAGCACUAGAAGCUGUUAUUUCAAGGCAAGAAUUACUGUCACCAGAUCUGUAAUCAGUACUGCAGUUUGCAUUCCAUUCCAUCCCACACUGUCCCACUUUCUCUGAAAAACCCAGCCCCUGAAAUAAUCUUCCUCUUAGUGUAAUCCUUGAACAGAUUGCCUCUUCCUUCCACUGCUCACCCUGGGCACACACUUUUUCUCCCUUCCUCCACUCUGCACCCUUCUCUUUACCUCCUCAAUUCCCAGUUUCACGCCUCACUUUCCUCCCAGGCAAGGUCUAAACUCAGCUUUCUCAGCCUGGCUGGGAUUAAGUGGAAACACCGCACAGCUGCUUUGGGUCAUGACUCCCAAUCUCUCUCCUUUCAAUACCAUGGAGAGAGGCAGCACUAGAGAGAGUGGGAGCCGUGCUCAGGAGCAACCAAGGAACCAGUGAGGCGCUUCGCUUUAUCCCUAAAAGGCUGAAGAACUGGGAGCAGAUAUUCUAUGGUAAGAGCGCUGGGAAGGGCUUUUUCCUUCUUCCCAGAGAGGUUUGGAGUCCUUUCUUUCAGAUCCAACAGCAAUUAGUCUGGCAGCCAUUCACUAAUGCCAAGUGUUCAGCAUGGGCAGGACCUAGACCCUUGUGCACAGAGGUACUGGCCAGGCAGAGUUAUUCCACACUUCGAAGUAUGUGGUCUCUGCAGAAAAAGUGUGACAAUACUGUGCAUUUCUGCCCCACAUCUGUUGUUGUUUGUUGAUUGAUAAUUUAUAGUGCCCAUAUGUGUGCUGAUUUCUUCAGAGAAAACAGAUCCAUCCCCCAGAGAGUUUACAAUCCAAGGGAUUGUCAUGACAUGUGAGACUAUAACGUACACAAAGGACGGAGUAAGGUAGGACACUGGUUAAGUGGUUGUUCAGCUGCGCAUACAUAAGUCUUGGUUUAAAAAAAAAAAAUUUAAAGUGGUCACGUUUUGUAGGUGCUGGUGUGGAAAUGUCUUUUGGAGGGAUCAGAAUCCUGUGAGGCCCGUGAUUUGGUUGUCAUUUUGGAAGGGUGCCCCAGGUAUAAGGGGAAGCUUGCAGAAGGCAUGGAAACAUUUACGAAAGAAAGCAAGAGGUGUCCCAGCUGAUCUCUCUGGCAGAGUGCUUGGGAUGGUCACCAGGAGACUGGGUCAGAAAUGUAGGCAGAGGAUGUGUGAUCUAAGUCCUUGAAAGCAAGAACAAGAUCAUCACGUAUAAAAUGAAUUACAGCUCACAAGUGAAUUUCCCAGGCCACACAGCAUGUCAUUGUCAGAGCUAGGCCUGGAACCCUUUCUGCACUCGAACCCUUUCUGAAGACCCACUUUGUCCAGGAGGCCUCCAACUGC
Dermochelys coriacea (leatherback sea turtle) is the source of this 3739-nucleotide long non-coding RNA. RefSeq lists it as uncharacterized. The transcript is spliced from 2 exons. The record is from RefSeq and is a predicted model, not a curated record. Lineage: Eukaryota; Metazoa; Chordata; Testudines; Dermochelyidae.